This 73-nucleotide transfer RNA is filed under the name Micromonosporaceae bacterium. It matches the Rfam family "tRNA". Rfam says of the family: Transfer RNA (tRNA) molecules are approximately 80 nucleotides in length. Their secondary structure includes four short double-helical elements and three loops (D, anti-codon, and T loops). Further hydrogen bonds mediate the characteristic L-shaped molecular structure. tRNAs have two regions of fundamental functional importance: the anti-codon, which is responsible for specific mRNA codon recognition, and the 3' end, to which the tRNAs corresponding amino acid is attached (by aminoacyl-tRNA synthetases). tRNAs cope with the degeneracy of the genetic code in two manners: having more than one tRNA (with a specific anti-codon) for a particular amino acid; and 'wobble' base-pairing, i.e. permitting non-standard base-pairing at the 3rd anti-codon position. The record is from Rfam by way of RNAcentral. Lineage: Bacteria; Bacillati; Actinomycetota; Actinomycetes; Micromonosporales; Micromonosporaceae.
GGGGUCUUAGCUCAUCAGGUAGAGCACCUGCCUUGCAAGCAGGAGGCGCCCGGUUCGAGCCCGGGAGGCUCCA